CUCGGCCCGCGCCUGCCCUCGCCGGGCACUUUCUCGCCCGCCCUCUCCUGCGCGCCCUGGCCCCACUCGCGCGGGCUCUCUCUUUUUCCCGUUGCACCAGCGUCGGGAUGAAGUCGGGAGCAAAGCCCUUCCCGGGGCGGUCCAGCGUUCACCUUCGGCGAGCACCUAAGGGAGAGCCCGAGUGGCCAGAAUCCGAAGUCACCAUUAGACACUCUCUCUGCGCUCUUGGACACCUCCAGAGAAAAAGCCAGCACAUCCUGCCUUGGCUGGAAAAGCCAGCCUUCCACCCAGCGCCCCUAAAAUGAUCGGGUUGACUCCAGUUUUGUUACGAAAGGAGGCCGGGCUGCUGAGAGGCUCCCUGAGUUCCCUUCGUGGUCGCCCGUCACAUUGCCCUGCUGUAUACUUAAUAAAGCCCGUGUUUAUCUUUCUCUUUAGAACCCCCUCUAAGCAGACCCAUCGCUUUAUUGCUUUAAAACAUACACUAAGUGGUGAGUGGAGCUGGGGCGAGGGAGGUGCGGAGAAACUUUCUGCCACAUGUUGACAUUACAGAUGGCUACUCAGACGCACUAGUCCACCAAAAGCAAUCGAACACUGGCCGGGCAGUGCUUGCAGCUUUUCAGUUUGCCCUCCUGAGGA
RNAcentral lists this long non-coding RNA (636 nucleotides) under Homo sapiens (human). RNAcentral's name for it is "HSALNT0246744". The record is from RNAcentral. Lineage: Eukaryota; Metazoa; Chordata; Mammalia; Primates; Hominidae.